CAAAUGUUGGUAGAUUUUAACGGUAAGAAGAUAUCAACCAAGUUAAAAAGCAAAUUGAACGAAUCGCAUGAUCUCCAGUAGGAUCGAGAUGCGUCGACAUUGAAAGCGAUCUGUUUUAAAUGCAUCACUCAGCAAUAGUUAAAAUUUCAUAAUCAGGAAUAGAAAACAGUAAUCUUUUGAAUACCAAAGAAUAUGUAAAGAUAGGGC
This 207-nucleotide long non-coding RNA is filed under the name Mytilus galloprovincialis (Mediterranean mussel). The record is from RNAcentral. Lineage: Eukaryota; Metazoa; Mollusca; Bivalvia; Mytilida; Mytilidae.